Molecule: ribosomal RNA, 440 nt
Filed under: uncultured bacterium
Lineage: Bacteria
Description: partial 16S ribosomal RNA
Rfam family: Bacterial small subunit ribosomal RNA
Source: RNAcentral
CCUACGGGUGGCAGCAGUGGGGAAUAUUGCACAAUGGGGGGAACCCUGAUGCAGCGACGCCGCGUGAGUGAAGAAGUAUUUCGGUAUGUAAAGCUCUAUCAGCAGGGAAGAAGAUGACGGUACCUGCCUAAGAAGCCCCGGCUAACUACGUGCCAGCAGCCGCGGUAAUACGUAGGGGGCAAGCGUUAUCCGGAUUUACUGGGUGUAAAGGGAGCGUAGACGGCAGGGCAAGUCUGGAGUGAAAGCCCGGGGCUCAACCCCGGGACUGCUUUGGAAACUGCCAUGCUAGAGUGCUGGAGAGGUAAGCGGAAUUCCUAGUGUAGCGGUGAAAUGCGUAGAUAUUAGGAGGAACACCAGUGGCGAAGGCGGCUUACUGGAUAGUAACUGACGUUGAGGCUCGAAAGCGUGGGGAGCGAACAGGAUUAGAUACCCCAGUAGUC